UACAGAGGGUGCGAGCGUUAAUCGGAAUUACUGGGCGUAAAGCGCGCGUAGGCGGUUUUGCAAGUCGGGUGUGAAAUCCCCAGGCUUAACCUGGGAACUGCAUUCGAGACUGCAUUACUAGAGUAUGGGAGAGGGAAGUGGAAUUUCCGGUGUAGCGGUGAAAUGCGUAGAUAUCGGAAGGAACAUCAGUGGCGAAAGCGACUUCCUGGACCAAUACUGACGCUCAUGUGCGAAAGCGUGGGGAGCAAACAGG
This 253-nucleotide ribosomal RNA is filed under the name uncultured bacterium. RNAcentral describes it as "partial 16S ribosomal RNA". It matches the Rfam family "Bacterial small subunit ribosomal RNA", at positions 524 to 776 of the family's 1533-position model. The record is from RNAcentral.